RNAcentral lists this microRNA precursor (92 nucleotides) under Chlorocebus sabaeus (green monkey). RNAcentral describes it as "miRNA (ENSCSAG00000027667.1)". The record is from RNAcentral. Lineage: Eukaryota; Metazoa; Chordata; Mammalia; Primates; Cercopithecidae.
CUGGGAUUACAGGCAUGAGCCACCGCGCCCGGCCUGCCCAUUUUAAAAAACAGUCUUGGCCCAGCAUGGUGGCUCAUGCCUGUAAUCCCAGC